UACGGAGGAUGCGAGCUUUAUCCGGAUUUAUUGGGUUUAAAGGGUGCGUAGGCGGACUGUCAAGUCAGCGGUAAAAUUGAGAGGCUCAACCUCUUCCCGCCGUUGAAACUGGUGGCCUUGAGUGGAUGAGAAGUACGCGGAAUGCGUGGUGUAGCGGUGAAAUGCAUAGAUAUCACGCAGAACUCCGAUUGCGAAGGCAGCGUACCGGCAUCCAACUGACGCUGAGGCACGAAAGCGUGGGGAUCAAACAGG
Molecule: ribosomal RNA, 252 nt
Filed under: uncultured bacterium
Lineage: Bacteria
Description: partial 16S ribosomal RNA
Rfam family: Bacterial small subunit ribosomal RNA
Source: RNAcentral